Molecule: small RNA, 537 nt
Filed under: Histoplasma capsulatum
Lineage: Eukaryota; Fungi; Ascomycota; Eurotiomycetes; Onygenales; Ajellomycetaceae
Also listed under: 1 other name
Description: hypothetical RNA
Source: RNAcentral
GCAGUCAUGGUGUUGUUGGGAAUCGAAUGUAGUUCCAAUUUUCGGUCUGAUGAACCGUCACAAGAACGCUUCGCUCGCUACUCUCUUCGUAAUUGAGAGCGAUGAUCUGUUCGCUCCAGGCAAUGGCAUCCAAGUUACAAAACAUAAUUAUUCACAAAAGAAACAUACAUCCAUCUUCAAUUUCCAUCUAAGAGCUAUUUAUCCUUUCAAACACUAGUAUAUCUCACAGACAGACAGGCACUAGUAGACAGCAAGCUUCGAAUUCGAUCCCUAUACGCCUGCAAGCAGGUAUGCGAGCUGGUAGUCAAGCGAAACCUCCGUAUAUGAUAGAGAGUUGACAGAGAUCUUGCAGGUAGGCAGCCAGAAGUAGGCGGAGAUAUCUAGAUUCAUGCUAUCCAUACAUACAUUAGCACAUCACCUUAGAGAGGAUGGUUCAACAUUAACCAUUAUUUCACCAUGUCCUAACAUGUAUCACUUGGAACUUUGGGCUAGCAUGAAGAUGGAAAGAAGUGCAAUAUGGCGGAUAAAAAAGCUUCG